RNAcentral lists this ribosomal RNA (910 nucleotides) under Microbacterium sp. NBMS5. Its description in RNAcentral is "bacterial SSU rRNA". It matches the Rfam family "Bacterial small subunit ribosomal RNA", at positions 24 to 943 of the family's 1533-position model. Lineage: Bacteria; Bacillati; Actinomycetota; Actinomycetes; Micrococcales; Microbacteriaceae. The record is from RNAcentral.
UCAGGAUGAAGCGCUGGCGGCGUGCUUAACACAUGCAAGUCGAACGGUGAAGCCCCGCUUGCGGGGUGGAUCAGUGGCGAACGGGUGAGUAACACGUGAGCAACCUGCCCCGGACUCUGGGAUAAGCGCUGGAAACGGCGUCUAAUACUGGAUACGAGCCGUGAAGGCAUCUUCAACGGUUGGAAAGAUUUUUCGGUCUGGGAUGGGCUCGCGGCCUAUCAGCUUGUAGGUGAGGUAAUGGCUCACCAAGGCGUCGACGGGUAGCCGGCCUGAGAGGGUGACCGGCCACACUGGGACUGAGACACGGCCCAGACUCCUACGGGAGGCAGCAGUGGGGAAUAUUGCACAAUGGGCGGAAGCCUGAUGCAGCAACGCCGCGUGAGGGAUGACGGCCUUCGGGUUGUAAACCUCUUUUAGCAAGGAAGAAGCGAAAGUGACGGUACUUGCAGAAAAAGCGCCGGCUAACUACGUGCCAGCAGCCGCGGUAAUACGUAGGGCGCAAGCGUUAUCCGGAAUUAUUGGGCGUAACGAGCUCGUAGGCGGUCUGUCGCGUCUGCUGUGAAAACCCGAGGCUCAACCUCGGGCCUGCAGUGGGUACGGGCAGACUAGAGUGCGGUAGGGGAGAUUGGAAUUCCUGGUGUAGCGGUGGAAUGCGCAGAUAUCAGGAGGAACACCGAUGGCGAAGGCAGAUCUCUGGGCCGUAACUGACGCUGAGGAGCGAAAGGGUGGGGAGCAAACAGGCUUAGAUACCCUGGUAGUCCACCCCGUAAACGUUGGGAACUAGUUGUGGGGUCCUUUCCACGGAUUCCGUGACGCAGCUAACGCAUUAAGUUCCCCGCCUGGGGAGUACGGCCGCAAGGCUAAAACUCAAAGGAAUUGACGGGGACCCGCACAAGCGGCGGAGCAUGAG